CCGUAGCUCAGCGGAUAGAGCGGCUGCCUCCUAAGCAGCAGGUCGAGGGUUCGAGUCCCGCCGG
RNAcentral lists this transfer RNA (64 nucleotides) under Jonquetella anthropi. It matches the Rfam family "tRNA", at positions 5 to 66 of the family's 71-position model. Rfam says of the family: Transfer RNA (tRNA) molecules are approximately 80 nucleotides in length. Their secondary structure includes four short double-helical elements and three loops (D, anti-codon, and T loops). The record is from RNAcentral. Lineage: Bacteria; Thermotogati; Synergistota; Synergistia; Synergistales; Dethiosulfovibrionaceae.